Molecule: long non-coding RNA, 1500 nt
Filed under: Equus caballus (horse)
Lineage: Eukaryota; Metazoa; Chordata; Mammalia; Perissodactyla; Equidae
Description: lncRNA (ENSECAG00000056827.1)
Source: RNAcentral
CAGUGAGCCCGUCCCAGACUCCCACUCCCCCAGAGCCACAGUGAUCAAAGGAAGGGAGGAAAACACGCUGGAACCCCUUGGACCUGCUGCUGAAUGGGGAUUUUGGUCGGAUGUUGAGUUUACCUGGAAUGCCCCGGUGCUAUUUUGGGAAGACAGACAUCCUAUGGAAACAAUGAAGUGGAAAAGAAAACAACUAAAGCAAAAUCCAGAGCCCAGUUUCUGCUAACCCAGCUCCACACAGCCUGGGCAGACCGUGGAAGCCCGUCAGGCGUGCAAAGGGCUGAGACUGAGUGUGUCCGGUUUACCAGCAGAGAAUGCGAGAUGUAGAAAAAGGGUCCCUUUGACAUUUCCAACAAGUCAGUGACGAAAUGGAAAGAUCCUGGGAACAGUCUGCAGCAUCCCAGACUCCUCUCCUCCAGAUGAAAAAAAAUGAGCCAUCUUCCUAAAACAGCCUGCGGAGCUAGCUAGAGAACAUGCAGAACCUGUAAGCCCAGGAGCUCAGCUGUCCCAUCCUGGAAACAGACAUCUGUCUGCGCCUUCGUCUACAGAGCCCUGGCCCUCGCCUCUCGCUGUGAGCACCGCUCUCUCGUCUGCGUUCCAGUCGAGAGAUAAACAGAAUGGACUCGGAGGUGGACAUUGUUCUCCAACAGGCCUGACUGCAGCCCAGCUGGGCUAUGAGGAAGGAACUGUGCUCUGUGAUCAUGCCGGACAGAAGGAGAACAGAGUCAAAUGGGCUAACAUGUGUCUGUGCUCCUCUUGAGAGGCAAACCACAGGCCCAAAUCACAGCACUAACAAGUGGCAAAGCAAAGGAAGGAAUGCAGGUGCAGCUGGUUCCAGCGCUCAGGGCUCCUUCCUUCCCUGGAUGCGGAGAAUAUUCUAGCCUUCCUCGCCAAAACAGGCAGAGCAGAGCCAAGAGAUUUUGCAAAGACUGAAUCAUGAAGAAGGAACCAGGCCUCCCCUGGAUGAGCCUUGGAAAGCCCAACCACAGGGUCACAAAAAACAGUGAGGAAACAGAGGCACAGAGAGGUUAAGCAGUCUGCCUGAGGUCACCAAGUGAGAGAACUGAGAACUGUGAACCCACAGCUUUUGGAGUCUUAUACCUCUAGGUGGGAGAAUUUUCAGUCUGGGACAUGACUGAGGGAGUGGAAAUAAAGCGGAGGUUAGCAGUGUCCUUACUCCCACGAGGACAGGCCAGGAGCUCUGGCCCUGCCACAUUCAGGCCCCUGGGACCCACAGCACUGCAGCAGAACCAGAGAAGCUCCAGACCCUUGUCCCCAGGUUUUGAUGCCACCCCCAGGCCUUUGCCUGGGAUGGAAAGUCACCUGCUCCGUCACAGGGGAUACCCGGAAUAUCUGGGUUGGAUCACAGGCCAGCAGAAUUUGCGGAGGUUCAUCUCAUCCCAUAACAACCAAAAGGACUUGAGAGCUUGAUAUUUAAUGGAAAAGCCAUCACCAUUCUCAUGGAACUCAGCUGAAAGGAUGUAUGCUCAUGGGUGCCAG